CGUGCAGUAUUAAGAGCACCGCGCGUACAUAUACUUACACACGUCUUUGAUUAAUUUGAUCUCCCUCUUAAUUAUUAAUUUCCUUGCAUGUGCACGCUAACACCUCUUUCUUUCUUUCUUUCUUUCUUUCUUUCUUUCUUUCUUUCCAUCUACAUAUCUUCCUUUUCUUCUUUUCCGCCGUUUCACGUCAAUACACGCAUGUAUGCAUGUGGCUAUGAGUUUGCAUCAUGCGUGCUGAUGGCGCCCAAGAAAAAUAUCCAUGCGUAUUUCCGGCCGUACCCCAUUUCCAGUUCCAUGCAUGCAUGUAUUCAUCGACCAUAUAUAUCUGCUCUUUAUAUAAUCAGGUGUUUGUUGUGCUUCCAGUACUCCUUCCGGCGCAUGCAUGUACAUCACACACACACACGCACGCACAAAGACAGCUAGCUAGCUGUACACAUGUACAGUUGAGAUCGAUCGAUAAUGACACGCUUCCCUUUGCCGAUUCAGUCCUGAUGAGACUCCUGUACAUAUAUACUAGCAGUAAUCAGUUGAGUUUGUGUACGCGUACGUACGUACGGAUCGACACCUAGCGGCUGGCGCAUGUAUAUCGCAUCCAUCGAUUAGGAUAACAAACUGAGAUAGAAGAUGUGUAGUACGGAGUAUUAAUUAAC
RNAcentral lists this long non-coding RNA (650 nucleotides) under Brachypodium distachyon (stiff brome). Its description in RNAcentral is "long non-coding RNA (BDIS_LNC001516)". The record is from RNAcentral. Lineage: Eukaryota; Viridiplantae; Streptophyta; Magnoliopsida; Poales; Poaceae.